Long non-coding RNA from Cloeon dipterum, 3109 nucleotides. RefSeq lists it as uncharacterized. Lineage: Eukaryota; Metazoa; Arthropoda; Insecta; Ephemeroptera; Baetidae. The transcript has 4 exons. The record is from RefSeq and is a predicted model, not a curated record.
CCCCAGUGGCCAUCCACGUUGCCACCACGAAACCUCGUCCGUGGAUUUUACGUGGAUGAAUUCCACGAACCUAUUUUGCCAUUUUUUCUAGUGCACUCGUUUGGAAAUACUUUCCCUUUCGAUAUUUGACCAUUUUUGAGCAGAUUUAGUUUGAAUUUUUGGGUUUUUAGGGCAAAAUUAACGUCCGUGGAACUCACGUGGAUGAUCCCCAAUUUCCCAAAUUGAGUUUUUGAAGCUCUUUUUGUGCCUAAAUUAUCGGUAAAUGAAUUAAGUGCUCCUCUAAAGCUAUUUCAUUUAAUUUUUUCUUAAUUUUUUUGUAAAUUUUACUUCGUGGAAGGGUCUCCGUGGAUGCUCCGUGGAUGUUCCGCGGACGAUCCACGGAACUCCGUGGAUGCUCCGUGGAACUUACGUAGAUGAUCCCCAAUUUCACCAGUCAUGUUUUUCAUUACUCUUUUGUGUCUAAAUUAUCAGUAAAUGAAUUUUAAGUGCUCAUCCAAAACUAGUUUAGUUGAUUUUUUUAAAUUUUGUAAAAUUCCCCAUCGUGGAAAAUUUUUCGUGGAUGCUCCGUGGAACUCACGUGGAUGAUCCCCAAUUUCCCUAAAUCGUGUUUUUAAUUCACUUUUUGUGUCUAAAAAUUAUCGGUAAAUGAAUUAAGUGCUCCUCCAAAGCUAGUUUAUUUAAUUUUUUAUUAUUUUUUAAAAUUUUACUCCGUGGAAAAGUCUUCGUGGAUGCUCCGUGGAACUCACGUGGAUGAUCCCCAAUUUCCCAAAAGCAUGUGUUUAUAAUCAAUAUAUGUGUCUGAAUAAUAAUCGGUAAAUGAAUUAAGUGCCUCUCCAAAACUAUUUUAUUUGAUUUUUCUUUAAAAUUUUGUGUAAUUUCACUUCGUGGAAAGGUCUCCGUGGAUGCUCCGUGGAUGAUCCGCGAAUGAUCCACGGAACUCUCUUAACGCAAAAAUGAAAAAUAGCAUGUAUUUGAAGCAAAUUGUUCAGUUCAUGAGCUGCCCCUUUUCGCUUUUUUAAAUUCAUUGGUCAUGUCAUUCUUGUUUAAAUUUCUAAAUUUUGGAAAUUGGUUAAGUGUCCGUGGAGUUUUCGUGGAUGAAUCCCCGGACACUUAAAACAUUUUUGGUUCGUUGGUAUUUCCUAUAGGUACGUUAAAUUGUUAGUAUUAUUUAAUAAACCAUCAUCAAAGUUAAUUGCUAGCUCAGAAAACUCAAUAUUUCCAAAUAUAUUCUGAAAUCUACACUCGCCACCUCGCCAGAAUAGCCGCAGCCGUGUUUCAAACUUUUGAAAAGCGCGCGCACUCUUACUGGCCGCAGCAAGCCAAUGAGCGCUGCCGCUUGCCUGUUGCUGUUUGUUGACAGACGACCGCGAGCGCGCGGACGCGCGAGCCGAGCGCAACGAAAAAGCCGUUGGACGACGCCGCCGCGUAAUUAAUGUCAGUUUUCGGCCACAAUUUCGCCACUAAGUCGACCAGCAAUGUUCUUAAGUCGGUGAUUGCAGUGAAAUCCGAAUCCUGUCCUGUUCAACCCUCCCAGCAAAGAUGCCGCAAAUCAAAGACCUGUGCCAGAGGCUGACUUUUUGUGUGACAACAAUGCAACUCGAGCAAGCUGUGUCCUGAAACUUUGCGAUCCCCACACACUAUGUAAUGUAAUUAUUGAAAGGAUGUCUGGUUUGCAGCUGAAGUGCAAGAUCAAUACAAGCUAACAGGCUUGUAUACUCUGGCUGCGGCAGAUCAGGCCGACGAUGUCAAGACACGGUCAUGGAUGGGAAAAGCUUCCAGCACGAUGGAUUCCAGCCUGCACUGAACUUAUGCUGCAUUUUCCAGUCUUAAAUCUGCUGGUGCUAUUUAUGACUCGGAUGGAAUCGACGCGACUUCGGAGCUCAAAGACGAAUAGCUUACAUAAUUAUGUGACAGGACUUCUGAUUGCUGGACCACAACUUUGACGAAGAUUGAGUGGUUCAUGUGUAAUUUUGUUUUUAAGUGAGGCUAUUUUUUAGCUAAAUUGUUAUAUUUUAUGUAUAGAGAAUUCAUUUUAAGGCUGAUAGCUAUUGCAUACACAUACCUGUGUUCACUGUAAUGUUGAUAUUAAAAUUAAAUUAAAUUCCAAACAUUAUUUUAGUGAAUACAGGUAUGUGUGCAAUAAAUUUAUGUUUAAGCUGACAUUCAUUCAUUGAAUUUUCUUUGCCAGAAACGUUUAGGCAGCUGGAAAUUUUAAAUUAAAUAUUUUUGAUAGUCAUUAUAGGAUUUAAAUUUGCCAUUUGUGUAAGCCUUCAGUGUUCGAAGUCGGCGUAGCCGUAUAUACUUCCAAUUUAAAUUCCCAUUGACUUAAGUCAAGGAUUUAAUCAUGCUAUUUUAUGGGUUUUAAAUAAUUUAUUUUGAUUCUGAGAACCUAAAUCAGUUCAGCCAAUCUCCGUAGAAACAUGGAAAUAAUAUUUUUAUCAAAUCUGACGUUUCGAAGGUGAUUUGCUAGACUGACUUUUGCUUUUAGUACAUCAAAUCAAAUCAAUUAAAGGGUUUUGAAUGCAGAGCGGUAAGAUCGUGUGUCUUUAUUUUCUCAGUCUUAUUUUCUCAAUUAAAAGAAACAGCUGGCACCAUUUUUUGAGAGCAUUAUUACACUAAGGGGUUUUCGAAGCUUGUGAAUGUUACAAUUUUUAAGCUUUCUUAAUUAAUUGUCUUGUUUCUCAUAACUUUAUUGACACUACUGUAAAUUGAUAAAAAUUCUCUGUAUUGAUCUAUUGUUACUGUACAUGUAUUGUGUCAUCUUUUUGUAAUCAAAAUUGUAUAAUAAUAAAUAAAUGAAUAAAUUUAAAAUAAAUAAAUGAAUUUUAUUUGCGAUAUUAUUACCCAGAAAAAUGAAACAAUAUCCACGAAAAAUCCCCAGCGAUUCCACGUAGCCGUUCCACGGGGAAUCUCCAUAGAUCAUCCCCGUGGAAUCUUCAUAGACUAUCCCCGUGGAAUCUUCAUAGAUCAUCCACGUGGAUACCACGUAUUUCGGGCGGACAAUUUCUACGGGGAAUCCACGUGGAUCAUCCACGUGGUUUCCACGUGGGAUCCGUGGAUCAUCCACGUAGGAUCCCCGUGGAGUCCACGUGGAAUGGCCACUGGGGAU